Molecule: ribosomal RNA, 377 nt
Filed under: uncultured bacterium
Lineage: Bacteria
Description: bacterial SSU rRNA
Rfam family: Bacterial small subunit ribosomal RNA
Source: RNAcentral
AAUGAACGUUGGCGGCGUGGAUUAGGCAUGCAAGUCGCACGGGCCGCGAGGCCAGUGGCGCAAGGGUGAGUAAGGCGACGGUAACCAACCCCGGGAUCGGGUAUAGCCGCGGGAAACCGCGGGUAAUCCCCGGCGACGUCACCAGGGGGCAUCCCCCGGUGACCAAAGUCCCGGCGUCCCGGGACGGGCCGUCGUGGUAUUAGGUGGUUGGCGGGGUAACGGCCCACCAAGCCUGUGAUGCCUACCGGGCGUGCGAGCGUGGCCCGGCACACUGGGACUGAGACACUGCCCAGACUCCUACGGGAGGCUGCAGUCGAGAAUCUUCGGCAAUGGGCGCAAGCCUGACCGAGCGACGCCGCGUGGAGGACGAAGGCCUU